This 103-nucleotide non-coding RNA is filed under the name human gut metagenome. RNAcentral describes it as "SAM riboswitch (S box leader)". It matches the Rfam family "SAM riboswitch aptamer (S box leader)". Rfam says of the family: The SAM riboswitch is found upstream of a number of genes which code for proteins involved in methionine or cysteine biosynthesis in Gram-positive bacteria. The SAM riboswitch acts at the level of transcription termination control. The record is from RNAcentral. RNAcentral also lists the same sequence under 1 other name.
UUUAUCAAGAGCGGUGGAGGGAACUGGCCCGACGAAGCCCAGCAACAGCCUUUUAUUUUUAGGUAAUGUGCUAAAUCCAGCAGACAAUGUCUGGCAGAUAAGU